This is a long non-coding RNA of Alligator sinensis (Chinese alligator), 928 nucleotides long. RefSeq lists it as uncharacterized. The transcript is spliced from 3 exons. The record is from RefSeq and is a predicted model, not a curated record. Lineage: Eukaryota; Metazoa; Chordata; Crocodylia; Alligatoridae.
GCAGAGCGUUCAUUGGAGGAUGAGGAGGCUGAGGGAGAUACUGGGAAGAGCCAAGCUGGGAGUUGCCCCAUGCCUGGGCCCAGGCGCAGCCUUGAGCACACACUGCAGCUGGUGGAAAGGAGGCUCCAGCACAUGACCUGGCACCUGAUGAGCAAUGUGAUCCCGUCCAGACCUGCAUGUCCUGCACCAUCCUGGAUCUCCGAGGAACCCGAGGAAAUGGAGGACCCUGACGCUGCCUUUGUGCACCCCUCGGGAUUCCCGUGCAGCCCUGUGGGUCUCGCACCCGCUGCCCGCUCUGCCUGAGAAGCCGCCACAGCGUGAGGAGGCCGAGGCCGUGAAGACAGAGGAGCCUGGAUCCGACCUGGGCCAACCCGCGUCCCAUGCUGACGCCAGUCUGGAGCCUUCUUUCCAGCAGGGGAGCCCAGAGACACAGCCGCCACCGGCCUGCGGGUCCCAGGGGAUGGCUCCGUGUGGGAAAGAGACUCCCUCAGCCACCCAGGCCCAUCCUCAGGGGAAGCCUUGCAGCGCAGCUGAGCCAGAGAAGGGCCCAGAGCACCGCCACCACCCCCCGAACCCUGCAGGCCACUGGGGUGCAUCAGCCUGCAGUGGAAGCUGCACCUCCUGGCCCCAGAGCCUCCGAGCAAGCAGGAUCCUGCAGACACAACCAUGUUGCCAGGGGAAGCCAGCACCAAGGUCCCAGACCCGUCUGAGGAUGUUUGUGCUUCCCAGGAGGCGUUGAAGCGGCACCUCGCAAAGGAAGCGGCUGCAGGAGGUGACUGAGGAGCCAGGCCCGGCCUCUUGCCGAAUGCCCCCAGGGGCAGAGACUGACCCAGGAAAGAAGGACCUGUCCCACCUGUGGGGCACCACCAAUGAAGGUGCAACCAGCAGCAUCAGAUGCCUCCUUCCCACCUGGGUGAGAGGUCACUGU